GACGAACGCUGGCGGCGUGCCUAAUACAUGCAAGUCGAACGCAGUGGGGACGGGUGAGUAACACGUGGGUAACCUCCCAUCAGAGGGGAUAACACUUGGAAACAGGUGCUAAACCGAUACUGAUGGAUGGACCCGCGGUGCAUUAGCUAGUUGGUGAGGUAACGGCUCACCAAGGCCACGAUGCAUAGCCGACCGGAGAGGGUGAUCGGCCACCAUGGGAAUGAGACACGGCCCAGAAUCCUACGGGGUGCAGCAGGAGGGAAUCUUGUGCAAUGGGCGAAAGGCUGACCGAGCAACGCCGGGUGAGUGAAGAAGGUUUUCGGAUCGUAAAACUCUGUUGUUAAGGAAGCGGUACUUAACCAGAAAGGGACGGCUAACUACGUGCCAGCAGCCGCGGUAAUAC
This 403-nucleotide ribosomal RNA is filed under the name uncultured bacterium. RNAcentral describes it as "partial 16S ribosomal RNA". It matches the Rfam family "Bacterial small subunit ribosomal RNA", at positions 28 to 526 of the family's 1533-position model. The record is from RNAcentral.